UAUUACGCAGAUUGACUGUUGACAAUAUAUUGAUUGAUACAUUUUUUUAUAUUUUAACCACUGUUUUUGUUCACAAUCAUCUAAAUUUACAUUGGAUACAUCUUUUACUGUCACCAAGUGAUGUUUACCGAAUCCUCGCUUUAUUUCUUCCUGGUUGUCUCUUAACCCAAACUCAACCACAGCUUUAACUCAUGACUGUCAUUUUGUUUCCAACCUUCUGGUCAUUAAUCCUGUCUACUAGGAUACUGUGAAUUCACCUGAAUCAACAAGUUGAUUUACUAAAGCAAAAACUACUAUCCAAAUCCAACCGUUAGACGUUUUUAAUUCAAAGCUGACACAUUAUCAAAUUGGUUACAAAGUGAGUUUUUCUUCAUCAGAUACUUUUCCUUUUACAACAUCAUCAUCUGUAUCAGAUGUUAUUUUGAUUGCAACUUUCAUUGUCUUAAAAGUUGACCUAUUGGCCUAAUCAUCCUCUUGUUAUUGUUUUUUUGGCGAUUGGCUAAUUUUUUGUUCAAUUGAACCUUGAUUGGAGCCAAAACCUGAUGAACCGAUUAUUGAAUAUUCCGAGUUGAUUCACAUAAAUUGAAAAUUUAACCUGCAACCAAUAUCUUUGCCUUAGUCAAUGUAAUUUGGCUUGAAGCAAAGUAAUGGCAAGUUAUGAUUGAUAUGGAGUUGUUUCUUGAAAAUUAUUUGUAUUACUUGGUAAGAUAAAGUGUAUUAUGAUGAAUGAUUUGCUGUCUUCACUGAUAAUAACGUUAUUAGCAUUAUUAUAGUUGUUUAAUUAGAAUCAAAUAGCAUUAAGAAUCUAAUUAAUUUGUGAAGGGAAAAAGUCAAUAAUAGAUUACAAUGCUUAACAAGUAGACAACAAAUUAUUGAAAACGUUGUUGCUGUUGUUGGUGUCUUGUUUUGCUGUUACUUGUCUCAUGUGCAUUCAUGUAAUAAUUGAAAUCAAUCAAGCUAGAAUGAUAAUUAACUCUGUUUUACCUAUUAUGAUGAUCAAUAUCGAUGAUCUUGCUGAUGAUACAAUUGACAUGGUGACCUAAAGAGUGGCAAGUCUGUUAUUCAGUGAAUCUUAUCGUUGACAACAAAACUGGCAACCUAAAUAAUCGUCAUCAUGUUCACUCAUUCAUCAUCAAUCAUGGUGCGGAUGAUGAUGCCGACAUGACCUUACACAUUGUGUUUUAUGUGUGAAUGUGAACGCAAUACAACAACAAAAGUUGAUUCAAAAAAGAUGCUCAAAUGGUUCAUAUUCAUCUCAAUGUCAAAUGAUAAAAGCUGAUGAAAACAUGAAAAGCAUUUGACUUUGAAUGGCGUUAAAAUGAUUGACAAACAAAAUCAAGUUAAAAGAUUCCCUAAACUGGACCCAAUUGUGACCAACAAAGCUCCAACAAUUGGACUUGGAUCGUGUUUCUGGACAAUUUGUAAAAAUUAUUGCAAUCUUUUUGAAAUAUUUUCAUGCAAACUGAGCUUAAAUUACAAAAAUUAUUUCCCUUUUUCAAGAAACCUCUUGAAUUACAAUGGAAAGUUGAUCGAAUUGCAAUUUCAAGUUAAUUUGGUUUACACUUAUUCAGUCUAAAGGAUGAAAUGCCGUCAAAAUUGUCUAAAAAUUUCAUAACGAGUACAUUAUCAAAAUGAUGAUAAAAAAGAUUUGCCUGAAAGUGAUUAACAAAUGAUAAACUUGAUUUUGUUUCAUCUAGGAUUGAUGUAUUAAUAUCAAGAAUGAAAUUUUUAUCCAUCAUUAUCAUCAUCAUCAGUCGCAUCAUUAUUUUAAUGAUUAAGUUCAUGUCAAUCAUGUUAAUAUUUAUGACUCUUUUCAUGUCAAUAAGUCAAUGAUCUGAGCAAAUGUCACCUGAUUUAUGCAAAAAAAAUAAUAACAACAAAAACAAAUCAUCAAAUGUGAAUUAUCAACAUUCACAUUUGUUGUGUUUAAUGUUUAAAAAUAUAACCUGAAAAUCAGAAACAAUGAUGAUGAUGAUGAAGAAUGAUGUUAAUAUUUAAAAAAGUAAACAAUUUCAAGCUUUGCAAUGCUAUCAUUUGUAUUGCUAUUUGUUAACCGUUAAGCUGUGUAAAUCUUAAUAUACAAUGAUGAAUACAAAAGAACAAUUUGUAGCAAUUUAUUUGUUAAAUUAUGAUUUUUUAUUGAUGUCACAGAUUGUUCAAUGGUUAUAUGAACUUCAAGUCUCGGUUUUUGUUGUUUCCUAUUGAUGAGCUUAUUGUAAAAUCUUGCUGUAAGUUGCUGAUCAGCAUUAAUACAAAUCAAAUGCUUCUAUUUAUGACUAUCAUGAAUACAAACGUGAAUUGAGAUUUUUUGAGUUUCAAAUCUCAUUGAAUCCAGUUGAAUCUUUAGAUGUGCAGCAGUGACUUCAAUCUGUUGCUGCAAUUUAAAUGGCACCAAAGGAUACGUUGAAACAGUGAGCUUCAUCUAAUGGAUUAAAUCUUAAUUGGCGUUACAUAGAGCCAGUUUAACUGGGGAUUAACAAUCCUGGGUAAGAUUUGAAAUGAUGAGACAAAAUACGCCAAAGAUGAUGGCGAUGCUCUGGGUUGAGGAAGACAAAUAAAGGGGAAGAAUGUUAAUUAAAUUGAUGAACGACAAUUACAAAUAGAGUAACAAACGGAAGUAGGAAUUGAAAACAGAGUGUAAGAUAGAAAGAUAUAUAUGAUGAUAAUUUUGUUAUCAACUGGAAAAGUGGAUAAAGCAGUUCACUAGAAAGAGAGGGAGAAAGGAAGAAAAGGAAAGAGGGAUCAUCAUCAUCAUCAUCUUUUUCUUCUUCUUCUUCUUCUUCUUCUUCUUCUCAUUAUCUAAGGCUCUAGCUAAAAAAACUAGGAAGAGUGAGAACUAAUAUCCGGACUUGAUGUUGUUGUUGCUAUUGCCAUUGCUUUGGAUGUUGCUUGUAGUAUUUUGGUGAUACUUUCAUUUAUGUAUCAUUAUUUAUAUUUAGGCAGAUCAAGUUAUUAACAAUUGACAGAAAUGAUUACGUUAGCCAGUUUAAGGCUCCUGCUGCUCCUGAAAUUGUAGUCGAGACACCUUGAUUGUCACAAAAUCAACAGUUUUGUUUAUCACUCUUAUUAAUUAUCAUCAUUGAUAGAGGUAAUUCUUGAAACAACAACAACGUAAGAUUAACAAAUUGAGGAAAGAUAUCAUUUUUAACUUGAGUAUAAGAAGAUGGUGAAGAUAGAGGAUAAGAUGAAGAAGUAAUGGAAGAUAAUUUUUGUUGAUGGUUUAGGUUCAUUGAAUGGAUACGAUGAACGUUUUUUUUUUGUUAUAACGUCUAACUGGUAACUAAAGUUAACUUCCUAGGAACCAUUUUUAUCCAUCAGCUAUUCCCAGGGUUUCAAUGACCUUUUAACCCAUUCUUGCUGGGCUUCAACUUUUUUAGCUUUUGGCUCGAGAGGUGAAAGGGCAUGCACAGGCUUUACAAGGUUAUAUUCCUCUCCAAAUGUUUGUCUGCUUGGCAGUUUAAAUAAAAUCGCUUUUCUUUUAACCAGAAAUUUAUGCUUUCAAAAGCGACCAAUUUGUGUGGAGAAGGACCAAAAUGACCAGGCCUGGACGUAGGGUUAAACAUAUCAUUAAAAAAACAAAGUGUUCAAUGCAUGAUACCGAUUGUAUUCACUUUUUUGUUUGAACCAAACUUUCCUCCACAUUUGUUUCCUUGUUCACUUCGCCUUUGCUCAACUGGUUUGACCAAAUAAACGUUUUACCUUGGUUCACCUUCAAAUUUUUAUGAUUUGGUUUUGCCACAAAACCUGACCUUGCUGUGUAUAAACAUGCAGAACGUGUGAGAUAUGAAUAAACAAACGGUAAGGAUGAUGUUCAUGAUUAGCGCCAAGUUGAAUUGGCCUCAUGGGAAAGCGAGUGAAAAAAAAACAUCGAAUAAAAAAGUGUUGAAUAAUUGAAAAAAAAAGAUAUUACGCGGUAAAUCGGGUCAAGAACGGUUAUAAAUAUAAUGCUGGUUCAUUGGAUGUUCAAUUGAUAGGCAUUGGCUCAAAACUUUUGGCUCCAUUUUUAAAAUAACUUUUUUCAAGCUUUCAACACUCAACAAAAAUAUUGAUACAAUCAAAGCAUUUAUAAAGUGAAAAAAUGAUCAACACCAUUUAGCCCAUCAAUAAACAAAAAUAACAACAAAAUAUAACAAUUUAGCUUUUUUCAAAGUGUAACCAUGCUUUUUGAUAACACAUAUGAUCAACCUAAAGUGCCAUUGUUGACUACAUUAUGUAAGCAUUACAUUCGUCUAUAUUUUAUGGCAACCAACCAACCAGCCUAACCUUAUUACCUACUGUUUUCAUCAUUUAUUAACAUUAUGUAUUAUUUUUAUUCAUUACUCUACAGUUUAUUGUACAGCCAAGUCUCGAUUGGUGUUUUUGUUUCAUUGUAAUGUGCAUCAUUUCAAGUUUACUUCACUUUGCUGCCGCACUAUACACUGAAUAGUUAACCUUUUUUUGUUUGUGUGUCUAUUGAAUCUCUAUUUUUACCUAGAAGUUUUGUAUACUUUAUCUUCAAAUUAUCUCACUAUUUUUGUAUUUAUUUAUGUAUUUUAUUAUUAUUUGUUUGCAGGUUGUGUAUUUAUGGUGGUUAAUCAAGGAAACGUAUCAACAACUGUAACAACUGUAACAAAUAUUUCCAAAAUAACAAUAACCUUAACCUCAAGGUGUACGACAAUCCAAUUUGAUUGACUUAGUUUUCGGGGUUUUGUUUUUAUUUAAUCAUUAAUUGGUGUAUUCAAUCAACAAACAAUAAUACCGUAACUACAAGUACCAUAGUUAUGUAAUGUGUAGUUGAUUGCAAUUAAUCAACAAUAAUUUCAAGCUUUGUUGCUCUUAUUUGUUAGCGUGUCUACUGGUGUUACCGUUUUUUCAUAUCACAGGUCCAACUAUUGUUUCAUUUAUUUUCAAUUAAUUAGUUUAUUUAUUUUGUUAAUUUUUACAACAAUUGGUCAAUUAAAUUGAAUAGCGCUUCACGCGAGUUAUUCAUUAAUUUAUUUGUAACCAAUGAAAGAAAUUGAGUAACAUUGAAUUAUUGCUUUCACCUCUUUUUCAAAAGGUUUCAAUACAACACUUACAAGUGGCUUUUGAGUGUAAAGUCAUUCAAUUUAGAUCAAUAUUUUUAUAAUUAUUAAUUUCUAUUAAUGAUUGGACCAUUUUUUAAUAACACACUUGCAAUGAAUUGAUUGUUACCUGGAAUCAUGAAAUCAAACCUUAAAGGUUCAACUUGAAAUCCGUUGCUGCUUUCACUGAUUAUUGCUGAUAUUUUCCUGAUAUGCAUAUUUGAUCAAUUGAUAAUCCAAAAUGAAAUUGAUUCAAUCAAAGUUAUAUUCCAUUAGAUUAACUGUUAAAACAGUAACAUUUAAUGUUACUAAUUAUGACAAUAAUUAUAAACCAUCACCUUAAAUGGU
Long non-coding RNA from Tetranychus urticae (two-spotted spider mite), 5390 nucleotides. RefSeq lists it as uncharacterized. NCBI's taxonomy places the organism in Eukaryota, Metazoa, Arthropoda, Arachnida, Trombidiformes, Tetranychidae. The record is from RefSeq and is a predicted model, not a curated record.